This 253-nucleotide ribosomal RNA is filed under the name uncultured bacterium. Its description in RNAcentral is "partial 16S ribosomal RNA". It matches the Rfam family "Bacterial small subunit ribosomal RNA", at positions 524 to 776 of the family's 1533-position model. The record is from RNAcentral.
UACGUAGGGUGCGAGCGUUGUCCGGAUUUAUUGGGCGUAAAGAGCUCGUAGGCGGUUUGUCGCGUCGGCCGUGAAAUCUCCACGCUUAACGUGGAGCGUGCGGUCGAUACGGGCAGACUUGAGUUCGGUAGGGGAGACUGGAAUUCCUGGUGUAGCGGUGAAAUGCGCAGAUAUCAGGAGGAACACCCAUAGCGAAGGCAGCUUGCUGGGACGUUACUGACGCUAAGGCGCGAAAGCGUGGGGAGCGAACAGG